GAAAUGCGAUAAGUAAUGUGAAUUGCAGAAUUCAGUGAAUCAUCGAAUCUUUGAACGCACCUUGCGCUCCUUGGUAUUCCUUGGAGCAUGCCUGUUUGAGUAUCAUGAAAUCUUCAAAGUAAAUCUUUUGUUAACUCAAUUGGUUUCUACUUUGGUAUUGGAGGUCUUUGCAGCUUCACACCUGCUCCUCUUUGUUCAUUAGCUGGAUCUCAGUGUUAUGCUUGGUUCCACUCGGCGUGAUAAGUUAUCUAUCGCUGAGGACACUGUAAAAGGUGGCCAAGGUAAAUGCAGAUGAAACGCUUCUAAUAGUCCAUUGAAUUGGACAAUACUUUUAUGAUCUGAUCUCAAAUCAGGUAGGACUACCCGCUGAACUUAAGC
RNAcentral lists this unclassified non-coding RNA (378 nucleotides) under plant metagenome. RNAcentral describes it as "partial contains 5.8S ribosomal RNA, internal transcribed spacer 2, and large subunit ribosomal RNA". The stretch from base 1 to 105 matches the Rfam family "5.8S ribosomal RNA", at positions 50 to 154 of the family's 154-position model. The record is from RNAcentral.